AAUUCUCAAAACCCUUUUCUUUGAUCCCUUGUGGUCGGGAAAAGGACUUUUGGACUUGGAGGUUCAAUGCUUGCCUUUCACUUUUGAAAGUGAGCUCCUCUCAAAUAAAUUAGCGGGGUCUGCUUUGCUGGUCCUUGACGUGAUAAGAUGUUUCUACGUUUUGGAUUUGGCACUGUCUUUUGGACGUUCGCUACCAACUGUCUUAUGGACGACGAUGGUGCUUCGGUCACCGCCAUCUACUGUACAUUGGCGGGAGGCUGGACCCACAAAAAACCC
Molecule: unclassified non-coding RNA, 276 nt
Filed under: uncultured Russula
Lineage: Eukaryota; Fungi; Basidiomycota; Agaricomycetes; Russulales; Russulaceae
Description: sequence contains ITS2
Source: RNAcentral